AAGUCGUAACAAGGUUUCCGUAGGUGAACCUGCGGAAGGAUCAUUAACAAAUCAUCCACAACACUCCCUGUGCAAAUGUGCGUUGCUCGCUGCCGCGAGGCGCGGGCAACAGCCACGACAUAUACACGUUCCGAUGGUCAGAGGUAUGACAUGUAACCAUGUUGACAACCUUUAACAAUGGAUCUCUUGGCUCUU
RNAcentral lists this unclassified non-coding RNA (195 nucleotides) under fungal sp. Its description in RNAcentral is "partial internal transcribed spacer region". The stretch from base 1 to 46 matches the Rfam family "Eukaryotic small subunit ribosomal RNA", at positions 1786 to 1831 of the family's 1831-position model. The record is from RNAcentral. Lineage: Eukaryota; Fungi.